RNAcentral lists this non-coding RNA (29 nucleotides) under Homo sapiens (human). The record is from RNAcentral. Lineage: Eukaryota; Metazoa; Chordata; Mammalia; Primates; Hominidae.
UGACAGAAAAGCUGAACGUGAGCCACACA